GACGAACCGAGCGAACGUUGUUCGGAAUCACUGGGCGUAAAGGGUGCGUAGGUGGCAGGGUAAGUCGGAUGUGAAAUCUCCGAGCUCAACUCCGAAAUGGCAUUGGAAACUACCUUGCUCGAGGGUUGGAGGGGGGACUGGAAUGGUCGGUGUAGCGGUGAAAUGCGUAGAGAUCGACCAGAACACCGGUGGCGAAGGCGGGUCUCUGGACAGUUCCUGACGCUGAGGCACGAAAGCCAGGGGAGCAAACGGG
RNAcentral lists this ribosomal RNA (253 nucleotides) under uncultured prokaryote. Its description in RNAcentral is "partial 16S ribosomal RNA". It matches the Rfam family "Bacterial small subunit ribosomal RNA", at positions 524 to 776 of the family's 1533-position model. The record is from RNAcentral.